RNA transcript from Lutzomyia longipalpis, 5057 nucleotides. RefSeq lists it as uncharacterized. The transcript is spliced from 5 exons. The record is from RefSeq and is a predicted model, not a curated record. NCBI's taxonomy places the organism in Eukaryota, Metazoa, Arthropoda, Insecta, Diptera, Psychodidae.
UAUUUUCUAUUAAAAUAUUUAAUUUAGAUGUAGAAUUAGUGAAAAAUAUGUAAAGAAAACUUUAGUUUAGAUGCUGGGUUAUGUUCAGAACGUGGAAGAUUCUGAAAAUCCGGCCAAUAAAUGAUGCAAAUCUGCAAUUUCAUAUUUGCCUUCUUGGCGUCAGUGUUUUUCAGAGUCUCCAAUAAGUUCACAUAACUCAUUAAAUUUAGGUGUUUUAUUGAAUUUUUCUCGGCAGGAUCUUGAUCCUUGCCGCGUGUUACGCUUUAAGAUUCAUGGUUUAUCAUUUAAUCACGAAAAAGGAUAAUUUUUUUAACACUGGGGGACCCAACAUUGGGAGCAACGCGGAGGGAAAAAAUUGCUGGGUUUCAAUAUAAUUAAUCUAUUCUGCCUCAGUUUAUAAACGACGAUCGAAAGUCUCAUUAAUUCUUUAUCUAGAUCAAGUAUUCCUGCACUUCAUUCUAAAUAUUUUAUUAAUAAAAUGGAAACUGAGUAAAAUUGUGUAGAAUCUAUACAAAAUUGUCAAUUUUUAGUUCAAUUUUGUGUAUUUUCUUAUUGCACCAGAAUCCUCACUUUCUUUAAUUCCUCAAGUAAUAACCAAAUAGCUUAGUUCCAAAUAUGAUGGCACAGAAUUCUAUUUUUGUUUUGUUGUUUUUUUUUUUAAAUUUUAAGUAUGCCGAAACGGUCUUACUUUGGGUGCAGUAAAUCUACCUUCUUCAGAAAGCUUAAAAAAAAUCUCCAAAACGAUGAAGAUUUAGAGGAGAAUGAAGCAAAUGCUACUCUUCCUUCAUGCUCCUCACUCGUGCCAAUCGAAGAGUCAAUAUGCCCCUCAAACAGUGAUUCCUCGUUGAUUGAAAUUGAAAAUGAGGUAGACGAAUCAGAGUGUUCGUAUGCUGAAAAUGAUAGUUUUUGCGAAAAUGAUAGUGAUUGCGAAGCACCCCUCUCAACAGACGAUGAAUUCGAAUUGCAAAAUGAUGAUAAUGCGCAAACCGAAAGUGAUAUUAUUGAUGAGUCUCAAGAGGCGGAUAACUGCAGUUCUGAAAAUUCCCCCAAAGGUCGCAAUCUAAGGAUGGCACUAACAAAACUGGUGUUGGAUUUUUCUCCGACUUCCGAAUUUUGUCGAAGUAUGCUGAAAAUUUUUAGAGAACACGGGCAUCCAGAAAUUCCGGCAACUAAAGAGACAUUGCUUGGAACACCUAGAAGUAAAAUCCAGUUAAGAGAGGUGCCCCCUGGACACUAUUAUCACUUUGGCAUCGAAGAAUCACUACUUAACUUUCCUGACAAUUCCUAUCCAUCAACCGUGGAAACUAUUUGCUUGGACAUUGGAGUAGAUGGACUGCCACUUGUUGCAAAUGGGAAAUUGUGUAUGUGGCCAAUUUUAGCUGCAUUCACAGACCAAAAAGAUAUUGCUCCAUUCGUAGUAGGUGCCUACGUUGGGUAUGGUAAACCUGAUUCCUCCGAGGACUUCAUGAAAGAUUUUAUAGCUGAAGUGAAUCACCUAUACAGAAGGAACGGUGUAUUUGUUACAAAAAAACGAAUUUUUAAAAAGUUCAAAAUCGUGAAAUACAUCUGCGAUUCUCCUGCACGAUCCUUUAUAACCAAUGUUCUUGGGCACACGGCUUCAGCUGGUUGUCCAAAAUGCGAUCAAAGAGGGAAAAAAUUAGGUCCUUGUGUUGGUGACAAUGUAGUGAAAAAGGGAGUAUCAAAAAAGAAGAAGAAAUUGGUAUUCAAAAGUACAAGUGGAGCCUUGAGAACGGAUGCAUCUUUUACAACAAGAAAGGAUCCUGGACAUCAUAAGUCAAUGUCAGCGAUUGGCGUUGAGAAUAUAAAGGGAAUUCGGAUGGUAUCGGACUUUGUACUAGAUCCGAUGCAUAUUAUCGACUUGGGGGUUGUAAGGAGAAUACUGAAGUAUAUCUUUAGAAAUGAAUGUUCCGGAUUUAAACUCACCGAUGAAAGAAUGGAAGUAAUUUCAUCUUUUUACACAGCACUCAAACCUUUCAUUCCAUCGGAUUUCGUAAGAAAACCACGAUCCUUCACUCAGGAGCUAACCCAUUUUAAAGCUACAGAAUACCGAUUGUUUGGGUGUUACACAGGACUCCUUGUCUUCAGAAAAUAUCUUCCAUGGGACUAUUAUGUUCACUUUCUACAUCUUUACACUGCCAUAAGACUCCUGUCUGCGGAAAAUCCCCCACAAGGACACAUCUCUGUUGCAGAGAAGCUACUCCAAACAUUUGUUGAUCAAUAUCAUCAAUUUUAUGGAGCUAAUAGUGUCCACUUCAAUGUACACGCUCUCCUGCAUAUUUCGGAUUGUGUGCGGCUGUUUGGAAAUUUUUCAUGCUUCUCUGCAUUCAAGUUUGAAAAUGCUCUACAGCACAUUAAAAAAUUAAUCAAACGCAAAUCCAAAAUUCUGGAGCAACUGUAUAAUAGAAUUUGGGAAGAGAGAAAAUUUGCAGAAACCUCACCACCAGAUACAAAGUUGUCCAAUCGAAUAAAAAGUAAAUAUUACGGUUGUGGAAUGGCAUUUAAAAGUUGCCAAUACAACAAAUUUUCUUUCAACAUCAACGACAGCGAUUCAUUUGCCAUGAUACAUGGAAAUAUACCAGUACGGAUCGUCGAAUUUCAGAAAGAGGAUGAAAAUAUUGUAGUAGUGGCACGCCGUUAUAUUGAUCCGGAGCCUAUUGAUGGUUUUCCAAUAAACUCCUUGGAAGUUGGCGUCAUGAAAGUUAAUCGUAUGAGUGAGGAGUCAGAAGUAUUUUCUCUGAAGGACAUUACAUGCAAGUGUAUGCGGCUCCCAUUCGACGAUUCUUUUCUACUCAUAACUGUUCUGCACCUUAAUCUUGGAAUCGAUGAGAAAUUGCUCAAUUAACUCAUUUAGAGAAAUUCAAAUGUAUAAACUGCAAUGGAUGAGGAUACAGGUGUGGAAUUUCUGGUUUACGAUGACCUGAACACAAACGUAAUAAAGGUGUUGGAGUUACUGAAGGUUCUUGUUAAAGAGCACGAGGGAAUGAAGGAGGAUUUCUCAGCUAUCAAAGCCGAACAAUUCGCCAUGAAAGCAAAGAUCGAUUUGUUGCUUAAGGAGCAAGAGGGUCUCAAGAAGAAAAUAGCCGUGCUGCAAACCAGCUUUGAUUGCAAAUUUGGUGAGAGAGACAAUUCAAACAUGAUGCAAUUUCCUAUUGGGACAAUGCAGGACUUGGAGAAAAUCGAAGAACUUUUGUCGGAUUCAGGGAAUAAGGCAAACAUUGAGAACCAGUUGAGGAGAAUAUUGGACCCGGCAAAGACCUUCCAGCUUCAAAAUUUGAUCAAGGCGGAGCUACUUUGUUCUUUCAAUCUGAAGCCAAACGAGAACAAGAAAGGCUUGUUGGAUCUUGGGAUAAUUUCUACCGCAAUGGAUAUUCUGGGAUCCCAAAUUAGUAUGAGUUUUGCUUAUCAACUUAAACAAGCAAAAGAUAAGGUUGAUCAGGCCGCCCGAAGGAAGAACAAGAAGAGUGCUAGUAAUUAGAGAAAGAGAUUAAGGAUAAAAAAAAAACAAAAAAAAUCAACAAAAAAAUUCAAAAAAUUCAAAAAAAAAAAAGAAUAGAAAAAGAACAAAUAAAGAAGAGAAAAAACAAGAAAAGAAGAGAAAGAACGAAACGUACUAAUUAGAAUUAGAUAAUUAACUUAAAUUUUUUAUUAUAAUAAGAACAUGAAGAGUUGUAGUAAUUAGAAAUAAAAAAGAAAACAAAAAAAAAAAAAAAAAAAACAAGAAGAGAAAAACAAUAAGAGAAGAAGAAACAGGAAAAGAAAAGAAAAAAAAGAACAAAUAAAGAAGAGAAAAAACAAGAAAAGGAGAGAAAGAACAAAAUGUACUAAUUAGAAUUAGAUAAUUAACUUAAAUUUUUUAUUAUAAUAAGAACAAGAAGAGUGCUAGUAAUUAGAGAAAGAGAUUAAGGAUAAAAAAAAAACAAAAAAAAUCAACAAAAAAAUUCAAAAAAUUCAAAAAAAAAAAAGAAUAGAAAAAGAACAAAUAAAGAAGAGAAAAAACAAGAAAAGAAGAGAAAGAACGAAACGUACUAAUUAGAAUUAGAUAAUUAACUUAAAUUUUUUAUUAUAAUAAGAACAUGAAGAGUUGUAGUAAUUAGAAAUAAAAAAGAAAACAAAAAAAAAAAAAAAAAACAAGAAGAGAAAAACAAUAAGAGAAGAAGAAACAGGAAAAGAAAAGAAAAAAAAGAACAAAUAAAGAAGAGAAAAAACAAGAAAAGGAGAGAAAGAACAAAAUGUACUAAUUAGAAUUAGAUAAUUAACUUAAAUUUUUUAUUAUAAUAAGAACAAGAAGAGUGCUAGUAAUUAGAGAAAGAGAUUAAGGAUAAAAAAAAAACAAAAAAAAUCAACAAAAAAAUUCAAAAAAUUCAAAAAAUUCAAAAAAAAAAAAGAAUAGAAAAAGAACAAAUAAAGAAGAGAAAAAACAAGAAAAGAAGAGAAAGAACGAAACGUACUAAUUAGAAUUAGAUAAUUAACUUAAAUUUUUUAUUAUAAUAAGAACAAGAAGAGUGGUAGUGAUUAGAAAAAACAAAGAUUCGGGCUGAAAAACAAAAAUACAAAAAGAGGAAAAAACAAGAAGAGAAGAAACGAGAAAAGAAAAGAAAAGAAAAAAAAAGAAAAGAAGAAAACAAAAUGUAGUACAUGAAUUAGAAAGUAACUUUAAAAAAAUAACAUUAUUAUAAUAAUUAUUUGAGGAUUUAUAAGUAUAUAUACGAAGGAAAUAUAUAUGAAUUAAAUUAAAAAAAUUAUGUAAAUAAAAAAAUGAAAAAAUAAAGAAAACCCGAUUUUUUAAUAAAAAAUAGAUCGACGGUCUGCAGACGGUAUCGGUUGUGACGUCACAAUGGUAGGGUCGAUUUUCGAGCCGACUGGGGUCGAUUUCGAACCAAUUAAUUGACCGAUUUUGCACCAAAAAAAAGUCUCACGGGGAUAGGGCAUUCAAUGUUAAAUGUCGGCAGACGAAUCGAUCUAUGCGUCGGCAAAUCGUCUGUUGAUAUGCUCGAUUUUGUCGUUCGAAAUCGACUCUACAUCGACAGAUUUACGGU